GCCACACCCAGUGUCUCAGAUGCUUUCUGUUGCCUGCAAGUCAAGAUGUCGGACACUUGGCAACUUCUCAGCACCCUCUCUGCCUGCGUACCACCAUGUUGCACCAUGAUGAUAGUGGACAAACCUCUGAAACUAUGAAAACUACAACACCAUGAACAUCAGUUUAAGCUGUUGAUACUCCUGUCUGGCAUGAGCAAAUGUCACUCGGAAGACGCUGUCAGAGCUGAAGAUGAGACAUUUGUAACAGAAUUCACGGGGAAGCAGUCUGCUCCAAGCUACACACUCAAAAAUCCUCCACACUGGACCUGAGACGACAGAAGGAAAACCUGAAAGAAAACACCAUGAAAAUGUUUACAAGGACCAAAGCCAUAGACAGAAUUAAAACUUAAAAAGAAUACACUGGUCAGGAAAAGAGAAGGCAGGCUUUGCUUUUCAGGGAGGGGUGGAGAAGGACUGAGAAACUGGAGUCUCAGGCGUCUCAGAUUGACCUUGAACUCACUAGAUAGCUGUGGAGGACUGCAGUCUAGAUACUCCUGCCUCUACCUCUAGAGGGCUGGGAUUACUGGUUUGUACCAGAACAGCUGAUUUGUGCAGUGCUAGGGAUUGAACCCAUGACUUAGUGCAUGGUAGGCAAGUAUUUGACCAACUGAGCUAAACUGCCAGUCCAAGACCAGGCAAGUUUUAUGGAACCAAAUGCAACUUCUUUUUUCUUGGGGGUGGCAGGUUUCGAGGCAGGGUUUCUCUGUAGCUUUGGAGCCGGUCCUGGAAGUCACUCUGUAGACUAGACUGGCCUCAAAUUCAUAGAGAUCUGCCUGUCUCUGCUUCCCGAGUGCUGGGAUUAAAGGUGUGUGCCACCACAGCCCUGCAACAACUUCUUUAAAAAGAAAAGAAGGUCAAUUAGAGAUAGUAAAAAUAGAGAUUGUGGCCUGGCAGCUAGCACAGGAUCUGACAAGCAAUAGCAGAAUAGGACCAGGAAAAUGACACCAACGGAGAGCGGUGUGAAAGGACAGACAGCAAGAAGACAAACAAUAUGCAAAUUAGUGGAGAGGGAAAGAAAGAUAGGGGGUAGGUGCCAGGAGGCCAGAAAGAGAGACAACUGUGGAAUACAUUAAAUUUGAGAAGGAAGUGUCUGAGAAUGUUUCCAAAUUGAUUAAAAAUGUGAUUUUUAGCUUA
Non-coding RNA from Myodes glareolus (Bank vole), 1173 nucleotides. Lineage: Eukaryota; Metazoa; Chordata; Mammalia; Rodentia; Cricetidae. The record is from RefSeq and is a predicted model, not a curated record.